GAGUUUGAUCGUGGCUCAGAUUGAACGCUGGCGGCAUGCCUUACACAUGCAAGUCGAACGGCAGCACGGGAGCUUGCUCCUGGUGGCGAGUGGCGAACGGGUGAGUAAUGCAUCGGAACGUAUCCUGGAGUGGGGGAUAACGUAGCGAAAGUUACGCUAAUACCGCAUAUUCUGUGAGCAGGAAAGCGGGGGACCUUCGGGCCUCGCGCUCUUGGAGCGGCCGAUGUCGGAUUAGCUAGUUGGUGAGGUAAAGGCUCACCAAGGCGACGAUCCGUAGCAGGUCUGAGAGGAUGAUCUGCCACACUGGAACUGAGACACGGUCCAGACUCCUACGGGAGGCAGCGAGUGGGAAUUUUGGACAAGUGGGGGCAACCCUGAUCCAGCCAUGCCGCGUGAGUGAAGAAGGCC
This 408-nucleotide ribosomal RNA is filed under the name bacterium enrichment culture clone ALO1_GLFRUDD03HKANT. RNAcentral describes it as "bacterial SSU rRNA". It matches the Rfam family "Bacterial small subunit ribosomal RNA", at positions 9 to 416 of the family's 1533-position model. The record is from RNAcentral.